Molecule: ribosomal RNA, 253 nt
Filed under: uncultured bacterium
Lineage: Bacteria
Description: partial 16S ribosomal RNA
Rfam family: Bacterial small subunit ribosomal RNA
Source: RNAcentral
UACGUAGGGGGCAAGCGUUGUCCGGAUUUAUUGGGCGUAAAGGGCGCGUAGGCGGCCUGAUAAGUAGGGGGUGAAAUCCUGCGGCUUAACCGCAGGGCUGCCUUCUAAACUGUCAGGCUUGAGCACAGUAGAGGCAGGUGGAAUUCCCGGUGCAGCGGUGGAAUGCGUAGAGAUCGGGAAGAACAUCAGUGGCGAAGGCGGCCUGCUGGGCUGUUGCUGACGCUGAGGCGCGACAGCGUGGGGAGCAAACAGG